Molecule: RNA transcript, 1378 nt
Organism: Homo sapiens (human)
Lineage: Eukaryota; Metazoa; Chordata; Mammalia; Primates; Hominidae
Gene: CMC1P1
Gene name: CMC1 pseudogene 1
Exons: 1
Source: RefSeq, a predicted model, not a curated record
UUUAGGCCUUAGGGGCGCGGCCCCUCGCGCCCUACCGUGCCCCACCGUGCCAUGUUCCGGGCUGCCUGCCUUCUAAAAGUUCCUGCAGGAAGCAGGUGAUGUGGCCUCCCCGACCCGGGCCCGCCCCCACCACUUUGCCGGAGGCGAGCUAAAUUCCAGCCGGGGUUCCUAGCAGCAGCUUAGUGGCAGGCGACAGGAAAAAGGGCAAAGGCCCCAACUGGCUGGAAGGCAAGCCCGGGGGCAGGACCUCCUUGCGGGACGGCACGAGGCAGGAGCCGGCUCCAGGCUGGUCUCGGCCUGGUAAUAAUUUCACACCACCAGCCGGUCAUUGUUCAAAGCACUGUAGACCAUUUUACUAAUUUAACCCUAACGAUCGCCGCAUUUCGCAGCUGGGCCAACUGGUACAGGGUUGACCCGAAGGGCCCUGCGUGGCGCUUGGCAAGUAUACAGCAGGCACUAAAUGGCUGCCGACAGGCUCGGUGGUAAUUUUGAAAGUUGGCUCUGUGCAGCGUUGGGGCUGCGGCAUCUGCUGGUGGCGAGUGGUAUUACAGCCCAGCGCUGGCGGACCCCGUUGGGCUGGGGAGGGUUGUGAGAUUAUGGCCUGAGAGCCAAGGGGGUCGGUUAGGGGUCCCUAGAGACUGUGGAAGGCGGGGUAGCAUAAAACACAAUGGGGGACUGCGGAGGAACUAAAAUUUCGAGACUACAUGGUUUUGUUGUGCACCAGAAGUUCAUUAGAGAAGUUCCUUAAUUGCUUCUCCGCCCGCCGCGAUGGCACUCGACCCCGCGGAUUAAUUUAACAACUCUGAUGGUUGCUCUGUGAAAUUUAAAGAACAGUGGUUUAAGCAAAGACCACAAGAAAGAAGAAUUGAGAUCAAAGAGGAGUGUGUGCCAUCGCUGUGGAGGAGUUUCAGUUGUGAAUCAUGAAAUGUCCUGUAAACCAUUUCAAGGAGUUUGAUUUUUAUACCAAAAACAAUGGGAAGACACUACAGGUUUUUGGAGCAGCAGCUCAGACGUGUCGAAAAAGAUGUUUUGAUCCCUAAAAUAAUGAGAGAAAAGGCCAGAGAGAGGUCUUCUGACAAGUUCAAGAUUUUACCAAAUGUUGCAAGAACUCUGGAAUCCUUAUGGUAGUAAAAUGCUGGAAAGAAAAUUCUGCAUUGAAAGAAUGUCUUAACAGCUCACUAUAAUGACCCAGCCUUUUAUGAAUAAUGCAAAGUGGAAAACCUGAAGGAAAAGGAAGAAUUCAGAAAAACUGGAAUUUCUACAAAGAAAAGUCUACAGAAGCUGCCCACAAGUGUGUAGACAAAUAUUCAGAUGACAUUCAGGAUCUCUAAUACUCAUGGAAGUCGUUUAUAGAAUAAACCUUAAAUAAUGGACUCAA